UGAAGUACAACAGACCUGUGAGGUGUCUCCUUAGUGAUAGGGCAAAGCAAUUAGCGGUGGGGUUUGGAGAAGCAUCAAGUACAUAUAUUCCUCCCAUCUGUCCCAGGUGCCUGAAUCUGCUAGAAACCUGAUGGGAACAGCUUUUCUAUGGCAUUGCAGCAUUUGUGGAUCCAUUUGCUGAAGGGCACAGAUCUGUACACCUGAGAAAUUACUGAAGCUUUAAUGACCUGCUGACUGGUAUGGGAGGAUUUACCCAGCCUGCAAGAGAUCAGUUGUGUGCACUUGGCACGGUCCCUUGUUCUCAGUCUACGAGUGGAGAAAUCACAGGAUUCAACCCCUAUGAAAGAGCUGGCUCUGGAGUUUCAGACCUCCUGGAAUCCUUCUCUUUCAAAGUGGAACAGCAGGCUCAGGAUCAGUCUUUUCAGGCAUGGUGAUGAACGGCAUGAUCCAACAGGAGCCUUCAGACCAGAACAAUACACCCUGUGGGAAUGAAGACGAAAAGACACACAAAGAGAAAGGUGCAGAAGAGGUGAAAGACUUAACCAUAUGCACCAAUGUCCAGCCAGCCCCCUUUGCUGAGAGGAAGAACGUAAAUGUAAGAAGACUGCAAAGAGUUUUGAAUUCAAAGAAAGAGUUGCCAGUCUGAAGAGACUGAGGAACAUUGGACUACAGGAUCAGAAUGCUGCCUUCUGGCCUUAAGAUCCAUGAAUUCUG
This 714-nucleotide long non-coding RNA is filed under the name Gopherus evgoodei (Goodes thornscrub tortoise). Its description in RNAcentral is "lncRNA (ENSGEVG00005013630.1)". Lineage: Eukaryota; Metazoa; Chordata; Testudines; Testudinidae. The record is from RNAcentral.